UGUAGGAGCGAGCCUGCUCGCGAUGCUUUUUGGCGUCCUCACGGGCGCCAUCGCGAGCAGGCUCACUCCUACA
RNAcentral lists this unclassified non-coding RNA (73 nucleotides) under Pseudomonas koreensis. Lineage: Bacteria; Pseudomonadati; Pseudomonadota; Gammaproteobacteria; Pseudomonadales; Pseudomonadaceae. The record is from RNAcentral.